This 784-nucleotide ribosomal RNA is filed under the name uncultured Neocallimastigales. RNAcentral describes it as "partial large subunit ribosomal RNA". It matches the Rfam family "Eukaryotic large subunit ribosomal RNA", at positions 22 to 644 of the family's 3401-position model. The record is from RNAcentral. Lineage: Eukaryota; Fungi; Neocallimastigomycota; Neocallimastigomycetes; Neocallimastigales.
CUAUACAUGACUCUGCGCAUAUCAAUAAGCGGAGGAAAAGAAACUAACUAGGAUUCCCUCAGUAACGGCGAGUGAAGCGGGAAGAGCUCAAAUUUGAAAUCUUCAAGGUUCUACCUUGACGAAUUGUAGUUUAAAGAAGUGUUUUCUGUUGGAGUUUUGGUAAAAGUUCUUUGGAAUAGGACAUCAUAGAGGGUGAGAAUCCCGUAUUUGGAUCCAUUAUUUCCUAGCUUUGUGAUACACUUUCAAAGAGUCGGAUUGUUUGGGAAUGCAGUCCAAAAUGGGUGGUAAAUUUCAUCUAAAGCUAAAUAUUGGCGAGAGACCGAUAGCGAACAAGUACCGUGAGGGAAAGAUGAAAAGAACUUUGAAAAGAGAGUUAAACAGUACGUGAAAUUGUCAAAAGGGAAGCGUUUGACACCAGUGUUGUUUUUCCGAAAAUCAAUUACGAAUGUUUUAGUUUUUGAGAAGUUAUGACUUCAUCGGCUUGCUUCUCUCUUUACGAAACUUUCUUAAUGCACUUUUCGGUUAACAAGUCAACAUCAAUUUCUUUUGUUGUAAAAGGGUAUGAGGAAGGUGGCUUUCUUUUCGGAGAAAGUGUUUAUAGCCUUGUAGCCUCUGCAAUCGGAGAGAUUGAGGAUCAUGCAGCGUAGAUCCUUCGGGGUUAGAUACACUUUGUGCUAAGUUAUAGCUUGUCAUAGACAACUUGUUGACUAUGUUCAGUCAUUGUAGCUUACUCGCAUGAUGCUAUUUUACCUACGCUUAGGAUGUUGAUAGUCACAGCGUGUAC